CGACUAAGCGUACACGGUGGAUGCCCUGGCAGUCAGAGGCGAUGAAGGACGUGCUAAUCUGCGAAAAGCGCCGGCGAGGUGAUAUGAACCUUUGACCCGGCGAUGUCCGAAUGGGGAAACCCAGUGCAAUCCGUUGCACUAUCGUUAACUGAAUACAUAGGUUAACGAGGCGAACCGGGGGAACUGAAACAUCUAAGUACCCCGAGGAAAAGAAAUCAACCGAGAUUCCCCCAGUAGCGGCGAGCGAACGGGGAGCAGCCCGGAGUCUGAAUCAGCUUGUGUGUUAGUGGAACGGUCUGGAAAGUCCGACGGUACAGGGUGAUAGUCCCGUACACGAAAGCACACAUGCUGUGAACUCGAAGAGUAGGGCGGGACACGUGGUAUCCUGUCUGAAUAUGGGGGGACCAUCCUCCAAGGCUAAAUACUCCUGACUGACCGAUAGUGAACCAGUACCGUGAGGGAAAGGCGAAAAGAACCCCGGCGAGGGGAGUGAAAAAGAACCUGAAACCGUGUACGUACAAGCAGUGGGAGCCUCUUUAUGGGGUGACUGCGUACCUUUUGUAUAAUGGGUCAGCGACUUAUAUUCUGUAGCAAGGUUAACCGUAUAGGGGAGCCGAAGGGAAACCGAGUCUUAACUGGGCGUUAAGUUGCAGGGUAUAGACCCGAAACCCGGUGAUCUAGCCAUGGGCAGGUUGAAGGUUGGGUAACACUAACUGGAGGACCGAACCGACUAAUGUUGAAAAAUUAGCGGAUGACCUGUGGCUGGGGGUGAAAGGCCAAUCAAACCGGGAGAUAGCUGGUUCUCCCCGAAAGCUAUUUAGGUAGCGCCUCGUGAACUCAUCUUCGGGGGUAGAGCACUGUUUCGGCUAGGGGGCCAUCCCGGCUUACCAACCCGAUGCAAACUACGAAUACCGAAGAAUGUUAUCACGGGAGACACACGGCGGGUGCUAACGUCCGUCGUGAAGAGGGAAACAACCCAGACCGCCAGCUAAGGUCCCAAAGUCAUGGUUAAGUGGGAAACGAUGUGGGAAGGCACAGACAGCCAGGAUGUUGGCUUAGAAGCAGCCAUCAUUUAAAGAAAGCGUAAUAGCUCACUGGUCGAGUCGGCCUGCGCGGAAGAUGUAACGGGGCUAAACCAUGCACCGAAGCUGCGGCAGCGACACUAUGUGUUGUUGGGUAGGGGAGCGUUCUGUAAGCCGUUGAAGGUGUCCUGUGAGGGGUGCUGGAGGUAUCAGAAGUGCGAAUGCUGACAUAAGUAACGAUAAAGCGGGUGAAAAGCCCGCUCGCCGGAAGACCAAGGGUUCCUGUCCAACGUUAAUCGGGGCAGGGUGAGUCGACCCCUAAGGCGAGGCCGAAAGGCGUAGUCGAUGGGAAACAGGUUAAUAUUCCUGUACUUGGUGUUACUGCGAAGGGGGGACGGAGAAGGCUAUGUCAGCCGGGCGACGGUUGUCCCGGUUUAAGCAUGUAGGCGGAGGUUCCAGGUAAAUCCGGUACCUUGUUAACGCUGAGGUGUGAUGACGAGGCACUACGGUGCUGAAGUGAUAAAUGCCCUGCUUCCAGGAAAAGCCUCUAAGCAUCAGGUAACACGAAAUCGUACCCCAAACCGACACAGGUGGUCAGGUAGAGAAUACCAAGGCGCUUGAGAGAACUCGGGUGAAGGAACUAGGCAAAAUGGUGCCGUAACUUCGGGAGAAGGCACGCUGAUGUGUAGGUGAAGUCCCUGCGGACGGAGCUGAAAUCAGUCGAAGAUACCAGCUGGCUGCAACUGUUUAUUAAAAACACAGCACUGUGCAAACACGAAAGUGGACGUAUACGGUGUGACGCCUGCCCGGUGCCGGAAGGUUAAUUGAUGGGGUUAGCGGCAACGCGAAGCUCUUGAUCGAAGCCCCGGUAAACGGCGGCCGUAACUAUAACGGUCCUAAGGUAGCGAAAUUCCUUGUCGGGUAAGUUCCGACCUGCACGAAUGGCGUAAUGAUGGCCAGGCUGUCUCCACCCGAGACUCAGUGAAAUUGAACUCGCUGUGAAGAUGCAGUGUACCCGCGGCAAGACGGAAAGACCCCGUGAACCUUUACUAUAGCUUGACACUGAACACUGGUCCUUGAUGUGUAGGAUAGGUGGGAGGCUUUGAAGCGUGGACGCCAGUCUGCGUGGAGCCAACCUUGAAAUACCACCCUUUAAUGGCUGGUGUUCUAACGUAGACCCGUAAUCCGGGUUGCGGACAGUGUCUGGUGGGUAGUUUGACUGGGGCGGUCUCCUCCCAAAGAGUAACGGAGGAGCACGAAGGUUGGCUAAUCCUGGUCGGACAUCAGGAGGUUAGUGCAAUGGCAUAAGCCAGCUUGACUGCGAGCGUGACGGCGCGAGCAGGUGCGAAAGCAGGUCAUAGUGAUCCGGUGGUUCUGAAUGGAAGGGCCAUCGCUCAACGGAUAAAAGGUACUCCGGGGAUAACAGGCUGAUACCGCCCAAGAGUUCAUAUCGACGGCGGUGUUUGGCACCUCGAUGUCGGCUCAUCACAUCCUGGGGCUGAAGUAGGUCCCAAGGGUAUGGCUGUUCGCCAUUUAAAGUGGUACGCGAGCUGGGUUUAGAACGUCGUGAGACAGUUCGGUCCCUAUCUGCCGUGGGCGCUGGAGAAUUGAGGGGGGCUGCUCCUAGUACGAGAGGACCGGAGUGGACGCAUCACUGGUGUUCGGGUUGUCAUGCCAAUGGCACUGCCCGGUAGCUAAAUGCGGAAGAGAUAAGUGCUGAAAGCAUCUAAGCACGAAACUUGCCCCGAGAUGAGUUCUCCCUGAGACCUUGAGUCUCCUGAAGGAACGUUGAAGACGACGACGUUGAUAGGUCGGGUGUGUAAGCGCAGCGAUGCGUUGAGCUAACCGAUACUAAUGAACCGUGAGGCUUAACCUU
Molecule: ribosomal RNA, 2898 nt
Filed under: Enterobacter hormaechei
Lineage: Bacteria; Pseudomonadati; Pseudomonadota; Gammaproteobacteria; Enterobacterales; Enterobacteriaceae
Description: partial 23S ribosomal RNA
Rfam family: Bacterial large subunit ribosomal RNA
Source: RNAcentral